RNAcentral lists this transfer RNA (72 nucleotides) under Pseudomonas phage phiPMW. It matches the Rfam family "tRNA". Rfam says of the family: Transfer RNA (tRNA) molecules are approximately 80 nucleotides in length. Their secondary structure includes four short double-helical elements and three loops (D, anti-codon, and T loops). Lineage: Duplodnaviria; Heunggongvirae; Uroviricota; Caudoviricetes. The record is from Rfam by way of RNAcentral.
UCCGGGUUAGCUCAGUGGUAGAGCAGAGUCUUGAUAAGGCUUUGGUCGGUGGUUCGAAUCCAUCACCCGGAA